CGACCCGCCCCAGCUUCGUAUGGGUGCAAUGGUGAUAUAUUAUGCAUGUAUUAUACAUAUAAACCUUCCUCUUGAAUAACUCUAUUAAAAAAACCGCAUCAAGAACCGUUGCGUAGUUUUAAGGAUUUAAGCAUACAAAGGGAAAUAGGGACAGAGAAAGCUACUUUGUUUUAUACUAUGUAGUGAAACAACGCAACGUCACGCCUUUUAUCCCCAAAGGGGUAAGCAGAGAUGCUCAAAACGACACGUAAUGCCGCUAUACAAUAUACACCCACUUUUCACCACUUGUGUUAUAAGUCCUAUGUAAUAGGGGUGAGCCUAUUGCCAUAUACUGGACACAAUUCCAGACUCCGUACUGAGAAAUUUUCGGAAAACCGAAAAAAGCCCAGUAAUACUUUGCCCGACAGGCAAAAUUUUGGCAGUACUCGACCACUCGACCAACGAGGCAGUGUUGGGAAACAGACAAACUUUAUGUCACUUUUAUAUUAUUACUUAUGUGCAUGCAUACGUGUAGGUCCAUCAUAUAAGAAGAAGCGAUAUUAUUAGUGAGUCAUUAGUGUUGGUUGCCACUAAGCCCGACCAGCAUGAAGCUACUAGUAUCAUUUACUUGUAUUUUGUUAAUUUUAUCCUGCAAUGGAUACCCAAGUGUGGUUGUGAAUGUAGAAAAAGUUGAAAUUGUUGAAGUGCCUCCUGAUUCUAAUAUGGCACCUAUGUCUACAUUUAACGCUAAUGAUUGUCCGGAGCCAAAAGUGAGGAUAGAAUCGCAGUGUGUUUCGCCAGAUUAAUCAAAUAUAAAUAAAUUUCAAGAUGUAUUUGACCGUCAAAAAUUAGUGGUGACUAAAGUGUGUGAUUUCUUUUUGUUUUGAAAUCUAUUUUAUUUGUACCCGUUUAAUUGUUUUACAUACGGUACCGUGAAUGUUGUGUACAUCUGUUAGAGAUAUACAAACAAGAUAUCUGCUCGAUUCUAAUUGUGUCAAAAUGUGUUUGCUAUGUUGCCGUACCCUAACCGGGUUUCAUGUUGAGACAAAUGUGCUUAAUUCUGUAAUAUCUAAAUGUACACAUGAAUGCAAUAAAUAAUUUGAGUUUGAGUAUGAGUUUGAAUCUCAGUUAUAAAAUUUAAUAAAAUGCAUUUGCAAUACCCGAAUAACGACCGGAGUGAUACCACGGCCUCACAGAAAACCGACGUGAAACAACACUAGCGUUGUAUUUCGUUGUGUGAUUGAGGUUACCGGAGGCCCGAUUCAAUCUUCCCAAUUUUUCAACCCCGAUUCCACAACAAUCCUUAAAUUCAUAAACUUCAAAGGCCGGCAACGCACUUGUAACGCUUAUUAAUAAGUUAUGUUUAAACAUCUUCAUUCUCAAUACAUUUAAAAUUGACCAAACUAGACAGUGUUUUAGGCAAAAGCGAACAAAGACAUAAUUAUAUACCAGUGAGAUUAUGGCAGAUUAUAAUUUACGAGUAUUAGUCAACGGACUUUGCUCAUAAUAUAAGAAUGAAACAAGUCGUUGAACCAUCAGUAAAGGUUGGAUCAAACAGCGCACAACAUGAAGUUAUCAGUGAUUUAUAUUUUUGUUCUGUUAGUGUUGACUUGUAAUGCUUAUCCGAGUGAGACUAGGACAGAGAAGGAGAGUGUUACUGAAGAAAAUAAUCUUUAUUGGGACGGUCUCACCCUAGACGCCAGUCAGUGUCCAGGAAACAGUGUUCGAUUUGGUUCGCAGUGUGUUUCGCCCGAGUGAAAUAAAUAAAUUGUUUCAGACUUGUUGUGUUUAUUUCGUCUAUACUAAACUGAUGUACUACUACUACAUGGUCCAGAGCUGUGGACUACUUACGGCGCAUUCCAAUAACCUACCGAUCGGUAGAUUUGCCUACCAGCGGUAGAAUUUUGACACAUUUUGUAUGGAGCUUAUGUCAAAAUUCUACCGCUGGUAGGCGAAUCUACCGAUCGGUAGGUUAUUGGAAUGCACCGUUAGCGGGUUUAUCGGGGCUCCAGCUAGGAAAGCAGGCGUAGGCAUGCCCCAUGCCAAUUAACGUGUUAACCACCACAUUCGAGAUAGUUUGGUGAUUUUAGACUCCAUAACUUAAAGAGCCUAAAAAUUUUUCGUUUAACAAAACACGCUUCUAAGAACAUUGUAGUCACGAAAUUAUUCUAUAUGUAUAAAAAUACAAGAAAAAUCAUUAAUCUGACUUCUGUCAUGUCAAAGGUAGAGAAAAGCCAAGUCCAAUAAGUAAACAUUUUAGAGCAAAAUAAAAUUGUUUUAAUCAACAAUAAAAAAUACAGAUUUAAUAGAAAUGAUGACGGGGUAUGAACAUUAAUAAUCUAUUUAGUCCGUCAGUUAGGUAACGAAAAUAUAUUAGAAACGUAUUUUUUUAUUUUGUCUUAUAAGAUAACAAUACAUAGAUAAAACGAAUAAAAAAUUAGGAGUGUGAGAAAAUAAUUACGUCAUUUUUACGUAUAAAAUGUCCCCGAAGUGACACCACGCGAUAUUUUAAAUCGAUAUGUCAGACGAUAAAUCGAUCUUCGGAAGUAUUAACUUCCGCAAUAUAAAAAAAUACGUAUCUAAGAUUACAUUAAAAUAAUCUACAAGACGGGCAUUAACAUAAAAAUUAUUCAUCUAAUCUAUUAUUAAGACACCAAAUACAUAGCUUAGACGCAAAGUAAAACAAGCAUGAAGGUCAACAUACAUAGAGUUUUUACUAUAAAUUCAAGUAUGUACAUAAAUAUGACGUACCUUUGUGGCAAUAAGUGCCUACACCAAUCAUAUAAGAAGCCGCAAUUUUAUUGAAUCAUUAUUGUUGAUUGCAAUCUUGGACCGAUCAACAUGAGGCUACAAUUGUUACUUAUUUGUAUUUAUUUAACUUUAUCUUGCAAUGGUCGUCCAAGCGUAGAAGUGAAAAUAGAAAAAUUAGAAGUAUUUGAAGUGUUUCCUGAUUCUGAUACAAUCGGUUUUGGUGGUUCUAGUUUCAAUGCUAAUGACUGUCCUGAGCCAAAAGUAAGAUUAAACUCACAAUGUGUGUUACCAGAAUAAGUUAUACAUAUCUUCAUUAUCAUUAUAAAGUUGUGUGAAAUAGACUCAGUGUUAAAAGCAAAGAAACAAAGCCAUACUAGUGUGGAUAUACAUAGAAGAUUUAAUUAAGUGUGGGAGAGCCAUGCUUCGGCACGAAUGGGCCGGCUCGACCGGAGUGAUACCACGGCCUUACAGAAAACCGACGUGAAACAACUCUUGCGUUGUGUGAGUGAGGUUACUGGAGGCCCAAUUACCCCCCCUUCCCAAUCUUCCCAAUCCCCGAUUCCCCUACCUAAUUUCCUGACCUCCAAAAGGCCGGUAACGCACUUAUAACGCCUAUGGUGUUUCAAGUGUCAAUGGGCGGCGUCGAUUGCUUACCAUCAGGUGAUCCAUCAACUCGUUUACCGGCUUAUUACAUAAAAAAAGAUCAUUGAACUUUGCUCAUUAUAUAAAAAGGGUACAAAAUUAUUGUUACAUCAGUAAAGGUUGGAUCAAACAGCGCACAACAUGAAGUUGUUAGUGAUUUAUAUUUGUGUUCUGUUAGUGUUGACUUGUAAUGCUUAUCCGAGUGAGACAAGGACAGAGGAGAGUGAUACUGAGGAAUUUCCACUGAAUCAAACCUUUGAUGGAAGCGGGUGUCCAGGGGAUACUGUAAGAGUAGGUACACUAUGCGUUGAGCCACAUUGAAAUAUUAAUUCUCAAGUAGACAAUGUCAAUUACAACGCUAGCCUAUGUUUAUAAAAUAGUGUUAGUGUUAAGAAUUAGAGUUGCUUUAAAGAGUGUGUUAUGAGCGAUUGAAUUGUCUUAAAAUGAAAUAAAUUAAUUUUCUAUUGC
Molecule: long non-coding RNA, 3840 nt
Organism: Spodoptera frugiperda (fall armyworm)
Lineage: Eukaryota; Metazoa; Arthropoda; Insecta; Lepidoptera; Noctuidae
Exons: 2
Source: RefSeq, a predicted model, not a curated record